AGCGAACAUUGGCGGUAGGCUUAACACAUGCAAGUCGAGCGAGGUUUAGAACCGAGCGGCGAACGGGUGAGUAAAACUUGGGAAUCUACCCUGAAGUGGGGGAUAACGUUCAGAAAUGAACGCUAAUACCGCAUAAUCCACAUUGGGAAAGCGCGCUGCGCUUUAGGAUGAGCCCAAGCCUGAUUAGCUAGUUGGUGGGGUAACGGCCCACCAAGGCGACGAUCAGUAGCUGGUCUGAGAGGAUGAUCAGCCACACUGGAACUGAGACACAGUCCAGACUCCUACGGGAGGCAGCAGUGGGGAAUCUUGCGCAAUGGGGGCAACCCUGACGCAGCCAUACCGCGUGUGUGAUGAAGGUCUUCGGAUUGUAAAGCACUUUCAGUGGGGACGACAAUGACGGUACCCGCAGAAGAAGUCACGGCUAACUUCGUGCCAGCCGCCGCAGUAA
Molecule: ribosomal RNA, 448 nt
Filed under: uncultured bacterium
Lineage: Bacteria
Description: partial 16S ribosomal RNA
Rfam family: Bacterial small subunit ribosomal RNA
Source: RNAcentral